UACGUAGGGUGCAAGCGUUGUCCGGAAUUAUUGGGCGUAAAGAGCUCGUAGGCGGUCUGUUGCGUCGGCUGUGAAAACCCGGGGCUCAACUCCGGGCCUGCAGCCGAUACGGGCAGACUAGAGUUCGGCAGGGGAGACUGGAAUUCCUGGUGUAGCGGUGAAAUGCGCAGAUAUCAGGAGGAACACCGGUGGCGAAGGCGGGUCUCUGGGCCGAUACUGACGCUGAGGCGCGAAAGCUAGGGGAGCAAACAGG
RNAcentral lists this ribosomal RNA (253 nucleotides) under uncultured bacterium. Its description in RNAcentral is "partial 16S ribosomal RNA". It matches the Rfam family "Bacterial small subunit ribosomal RNA", at positions 524 to 776 of the family's 1533-position model. The record is from RNAcentral.